Molecule: ribosomal RNA, 343 nt
Filed under: uncultured soil bacterium
Lineage: Bacteria
Description: bacterial SSU rRNA
Rfam family: Bacterial small subunit ribosomal RNA
Source: RNAcentral
AGGAUGAACGCUGGCGGCGUGCUUAACACAUGCAAGUCGAACGAUGAAGGCUGGAGCUUGCUCUGGCUGGAUUAGUGGCGAACGGGUGAGUAACACGUGAGUAACCUGCCCCAGACUCUGGGAUAAGCGCUGGAAACGGCGUCUAAUACCGGAUACGAGCUUCCACCGCAUGGUGAGGAGCUGGAAAGAUUUCGGCUGGGAUGGACUCGCGGCCUAUCAGCUUGUUGUGAGGUAAUGGCUCACCAAGGCGACGACGGGUAGCCGGCCUGAGAGGGUGACCGGCCACGACGUGGGACUGAGACACGGCCAGACUCCGUACGGGAGCAGCAGUGGGAAUAUGCAC